CCUACGGGGGGCUGCAGUGGGGAAUAUUGGACAAUGGGGGGAACCCUGAUCCAGCCAUGCCGCGUGUGUGAAGAAGGCCCUCGGGUUGUAAAGCACUUUCAGUGAGGAAGAACGCCUGGUGGUUAAUACCCAUCAGGAAAGACAUCACUCACAGAAGAAGCACCGGCUAACUCCGUGCCAGCAGCCGCGGUAAUACGGAGGGUGCGAGCGUUAAUCGGAAUUACUGGGCGUAAAGCGCGCGUAGGUGGCUUGAUAAGCCGGUUGUGAAAGCCCCGGGCUCAACCUGGGAACGGCAUCCGGAACUGUCAAGCUAGAGUGCAGGAGAGGAAGGUAGAAUUCCCGGUGUAGCGGUGAAAUGCGUAGAGAUCGGGAGGAAUACCAGUGGCGAAGGCGGCCUUCUGGACUGACACUGACACUGAGGUGCGAGAGCGUGGGUAGCAAACAGGAUUAGAUACCCCAGUAGUC
This 465-nucleotide ribosomal RNA is filed under the name Vreelandella stevensii. RNAcentral describes it as "partial 16S ribosomal RNA". It matches the Rfam family "Bacterial small subunit ribosomal RNA", at positions 338 to 795 of the family's 1533-position model. The record is from RNAcentral. Lineage: Bacteria; Pseudomonadati; Pseudomonadota; Gammaproteobacteria; Oceanospirillales; Halomonadaceae.